RNAcentral lists this transfer RNA (83 nucleotides) under Lactifluus piperatus. RNAcentral's name for it is "Lactarius piperatus tRNA-Tyr". It matches the Rfam family "tRNA". Rfam says of the family: Transfer RNA (tRNA) molecules are approximately 80 nucleotides in length. Their secondary structure includes four short double-helical elements and three loops (D, anti-codon, and T loops). Lineage: Eukaryota; Fungi; Basidiomycota; Agaricomycetes; Russulales; Russulaceae. The record is from RNAcentral. RNAcentral also lists the same sequence under 1 other name.
GGGCAGGUGAUCCGAUUGGUAAUGGUGAUUCUCUGUAAAAGAAUUGGUUAGCACCGUAAAAGGUUCGAUUCCUUUACUGCUCA